UGGUGGAGUGAUUUGUCUGGUUAAUUCCGAUAACGAACGAGACCUUAAUCUGCUAAAUAGUUGCGUUCACUUUGGUGGAUGAUCAACUUCUUAGAGAGACUAUGUACGUUUAGUACGUGGAAGUUUGAGGCAAUAACA
Molecule: ribosomal RNA, 138 nt
Filed under: uncultured eukaryote
Lineage: Eukaryota
Description: partial 18S ribosomal RNA
Rfam family: Eukaryotic small subunit ribosomal RNA
Source: RNAcentral